GUAGUCAUAUGCUUGUCUCAAAGAUUAAGCCAUGCAUGUCUAAGUAUAAGCAAUUAUACAGCGAAACUGCGAAUGGCUCAUUAAAUCAGUUAUCGUUUAUUUGAUAGUACCUUACUACUUGGAUAACCGUGGUAAUUCUAGAGCUAAUACAUGCUAAAAACCCCGACUCACGAAGGGGUGUAUUUAUUAGAUUAAAAGCCAAUGCCCUCCGGGGCUCACUGGUGAUUCAUAAUAACUUGUCGAAUCGCAUGGCCUUGCGCCGGCGAUGGUUCAUUCAAAUUUCUGCCCUAUCAACUUUCGACGGCUGGGUCUUGGCCAGCCAUGGUGACAACGGGUAACGGAGGGUUAGGGCCCGACCCCGGAGAACGAGCCUGAGAAACGGCUAUUACAUCCAAGGAAGGCAGCAGGCGCGCAAAUUACCCAAUACCGACUCGGUGAGGUAGUGACGAUAAAUACUGAUACAGGGCUCUUUUGGGUCUUGUAAUUGGAAUGAGUACAAUUUAAAUCCCUUAACGAGGAACAAUUGGAGGGCAAGUCUGGUGCCAGCAGCC
RNAcentral lists this ribosomal RNA (551 nucleotides) under uncultured eukaryote. RNAcentral's name for it is "SSU rRNA". It matches the Rfam family "Eukaryotic small subunit ribosomal RNA", at positions 20 to 575 of the family's 1831-position model. The record is from RNAcentral.